CUGUAAGCCUGUGAAGGUGUACUGUGAGGUAUGCUGGAGGUAUCAGAAGUGCGAAUGCUGACAUAAGUAACGAUAAAGCGGGUGAAAAGCCCGCUCGCCGGAAGACCAAGGGUUCCUGUCCAACGUUAAUCGGGGCAGGGUGAGUCGACCCCUAAGGCGAGGCCGAAAGGCGUAGUCGAUGGGAAACAGGUUAAUAUUCCUGUACUUGGUGUUACUGCGAAGGGGGGACGGAGAAGGCUAUGUUGGCCGGGCGACGGUUGUCCCGGUUUAAGCGUGUAGGCUGGUUUUCCAGGCAAAUCCGGAAAAUCAAGGCUGAGGCGUGAUGACGAGGCACUACGGUGCUGAAGCAACAAAUGCCCUGCUUCCAGGAAAAGCCUCUAAGCAUCAGGUAACAUCAAAUCGUACCCCAAACCGACACAGGUGGUCAGGUAGAGAAUACCAAGGCGCUUGAGAGAACUCGGGUGAAGGAACUAGGCAAAAUGGUGCCGUAACUUCGGGAGAAGGCACGCUGAUACGUAGGUGAAGUCCCUCGCGGAUGGAGCUGAAAUCAGUCGAAGAUACCAGCUGGCUGCAACUGUUUAUUAAAAACACAGCACUGUGCAAACACGAAAGUGGACGUAUACGGUGUGACGCCUGCCCGGUGCCGGAAGGUUAAUUGAUGGGGUCAGCGCAAGCGAAGCUCUUGAUCGAAGCCCCGGUAAACGGCGGCCGUAACUAUAACGGUCCUAAGGUAGCGAAAUUCCUUGUCGGGUAAGUUCCGACCUGCACGAAUGGCGUAAUGAUGGCCAGGCUGUCUCCACCCGAGACUCAGUGAAAUUGAACUCGCUGUGAAGAUGCAGUGUACCCGCGGCAAGACGGAAAGACCCCGUGAACCUUUACUAUAGCUUGACACUGAACAUUGAGCCUUGAUGUGUAGGAUAGGUGGGAGGCUUUGAAGUGUGGACGCCAGUCUGCAUGGAGCCGACCUUGAAAUACCACCCUUUAAUGUUUGAUGUUCUAACGUGGACCCGUGAUCCGGGUUGCGGACAGUGUCUGGUGGGUAGUUUGACUGGGGCGGUCUCCUCCUAAAGAGUAACGGAGGAGCACGAAGGUUGGCUAAUCCUGGUCGGACAUCAGGAGGUUAGUGCAAUGGCAUAAGCCAGCUUGACUGCGAGCGUGACGGCGCGAGCAGGUGCGAAAGCAGGUCAUAGUGAUCCGGUGGUUCUGAAUGGAAGGGCCAUCGCUCAACGGAUAAAAGGUACUCCGGGGAUAACAGGCUGAUACCGCCCAAGAGUUCAUAUCGACGGCGGUGUUUGGCACCUCGAUGUCGGCUCAUCACAUCCUGGGGCUGAAGUAGGUCCCAAGGGUAUGGCUGUUCGCCAUUUAAAGUGGUACGCGAGCUGGGUUUAGAACGUCGUGAGACAGUUCGGUCCCUAUCUGCCGUGGGCGCUGGAGAACUGAGGGGGGCUGCUCCUAGUACGAGAGGACCGGAGUGGACGCAUCACUGGUGUUCGGGUUGUCAUGCCAAUGGCACUGCCCGGUAGCUAAAUGCGGAAGAGAUAAGUGCUGAAAGCAUCUAAGCACGAAACUUGCC
Molecule: ribosomal RNA, 1573 nt
Filed under: Escherichia coli
Lineage: Bacteria; Pseudomonadati; Pseudomonadota; Gammaproteobacteria; Enterobacterales; Enterobacteriaceae
Description: partial 23S ribosomal RNA
Rfam family: Bacterial large subunit ribosomal RNA
Source: RNAcentral